RNAcentral lists this ribosomal RNA (446 nucleotides) under uncultured bacterium. Its description in RNAcentral is "bacterial SSU rRNA". It matches the Rfam family "Bacterial small subunit ribosomal RNA", at positions 331 to 792 of the family's 1533-position model. The record is from RNAcentral.
CCAGACUCCUACGGGAGGCAGCAGUGGGGAAUAUUGGGCAAUGGAGGAAACUCUUACCCAGCAAUGCCGCGUGAAUGAAGAAGGUCUUCGGAUUGUAAAGUUCUUUAAUUGGGGACGAAAAAAAUGACGGUACCCAAGGAAUAAGCCCCGGCUAACUACGUGCCAGCAGCCGCGGUAAUACGUAGGGAGCGAGCGUUGUCCGGAAUUACUGGGUGUAAAGGGAGCGUAGGCGGGCGAGAAAGUUGAAUGUUAAAUCUACCGGCUUAACUGGUAGCUGCGUUCAAAACUUCUUGUCUUGAGUGAAGUAGAGGCGGGCGGAAUUCCUAGUGUAGCGGUGAAAUGCGUAGAUAUUAGGAGGAACACCAGUGGCGAAGGCGGCCUGCUGGGCUUUAACUGACGCUGAGGCUCGAAAGCGUGGGGAGCAAACAGGAUUAGAUACCCCUGUA